ACUAAUUGAAUUAUAUUUGGUGAUACAGUGAUGCAAUGGCUGUUUUUUUGAGGAUUCAUUAUGCAUAAUGGUACUGUACUGCGACUAUGCUUUUCAACUUGCCUAAGGCAAUAAAACCAAUUGGAGCACGAUUCCUUUCAGGUGCAAGUGCAGCAUGCUUUGGUGUAGAUGUUCAUCCUACUUACUUAGCAUCCCUAUUGAAGGAAUGUAAGUCUGGAAAAACAGUUCGUCAAAUUCACCAAAAGAUAAUUGCCUCUGGUCUUCUUUCUUUGCCCACACCAUUAUUGUCAGUGUCACUGCCAGCAUUGCCAUCUGAACCAUUUAUAUCACCAAGAUCUCUGGGCACUGGCGUUGUCGCUUCUUAUCUUUCUUGUGGUGUUACCGACUAUGCUCUCUUGGUGUUGGAACGUGUUACACCAUCACCAGCGGUGUGGUGGAAUCUACUUAUCCGAGAACACAUCAAACAAGGCUGCCUUGACAGUGCAAUUGCUGUCUCUUGCCGCAUGCUGCGUGCUGGAACUAGGCCAGAUCAUUUUACUCUGCCACAUGUAUUAAAAGCAUGUGGAGAGCUACCUUCAUACCUUUGUGGUAUCACAUUCCAUGGAUUGAUAUGCUGCAAUGGCUUUGAGUCAAACGUCUUCAUAUGCAAUGCAUUAGUGGCAAUGUAUUCCCGCUGUGGUUAUUUAGAGGAAAGCCACAUAGUCUUUGAUGAAAUAAUUCAGAGGGGUAUUGAUGAUGUUAUCUCAUGGAACUCAAUUGUUUCAGCCCAUGUUAAAGGGAGUAAUCCUUGGACUGCAUUGCAUCUGUUUUCAAAGAUGACACUGAUUGUCCAUGAGAAGGCUACAAAUGAAAGGUCAGACAUCAUUAGCAUCGUCAACAUCCUCCCUGCAUGUGCUUCUCUAAAGGCAGUACCUCAAACUAAAGAAGUCCAUGGUAAUGCUAUUCGUAAUGGCACAUUUCCAGAUGUUUUUGUUGGUAAUGCCCUGAUCGAUGCUUACGCGAAGUGUGGUUUGAUGGAAAAUGCUGUAAAGGUUUUCAACAUGAUGGAAUUCAAAGAUGUGGUUUCUUGGAAUGCAAUGGUGACUGGGUACUCUCAAAGUGGGAACUUUGAGGCAGCCUUUGAGCUUUUCAAUAAUAUGCGCAAGGAAAAUAUCCCAUUAGAUGUGGUGACAUGGACUGCUGUAAUUGCAGGCUAUUCUCAGAGGGGAUGCAGCCAUGAGGCACUCAAUGUGUUCCAGCAAAUGCUUUUCUCUGGGUCCUUGCCAAAUUCUGUCACAAUCAUCUCCGUGUUGUCUGCUUGCGCUUCUUUGGGAGCAUUUUCUCAGGGUAUGGAAAUUCAUGCUUACUCAAUCAAGAACUGUCUUCUAACCAUGGAUUGUGAUUUUGGUGGUGAUGAUGAGGAUCUUAUGGUGCACAACGCAUUAAUUGACAUGUACUCAAAGUGCAGAAGCUUCAAAGCUGCACGCUCCAUAUUUCAUAAUAUACCUCUAGAGGAACGCAAUGUGGUAACGUGGACUGUCAUGAUUGGUGGGUAUGCACAAUAUGGGGACUCAAAUGAUGCCCUCAAGCUUUUUGUGGAGAUGAUUUCAGAACCAUAUGGAGUAGCCCCAAAUGCUUUCACGAUUUCGUGCAUUCUGAUGGCCUGUGCACAUUUGGCAGCCCUACGUAUGGGUAAGCAGAUUCAUGCUUAUGUGCUUCGUCACCACCGAUAUGAGUCAUCUGCAUACUUUGUGGCGAACUGCCUCAUUGAUAUGUACUCGAAAUGUGGUGAUGUAGAUACAGCUAGGCAUGUAUUUGAUAGCAUGCCUCAAAGGAGUGCUGUUUCUUGGACAUCAAUGAUGACAGGGUACGGAAUGCAUGGUCGUGGUAGUGAGGCCCUGGACAUAUUUGAUAAUAUGCGGAAAGCAGGCUUUGUUCCUGACGAUAUAGCCUUCCUGGUUGUUCUUUAUGCAUGUAGUCAUUGUGGAAUGGUUGAUCAAGGUCUAGCAUACUUCGACAGCAUGAGCGCAGAUUAUGGUUUGACACCCAGUGCAGAGCACUAUGCCUGUGCUAUUGACUUGCUGGCCCGGUCUGGGCGAUUAGAUAAGGCAUGGGAAACAGUUAAUGACAUGCCAAUGGAGCCCACUGCAGUAGUUUGGGUUGCACUACUGAGUGCCUGUAGAGUACAUUCAAAUGUUGAACUUGCUGAACAUGCUCUGAACAAGCUGGUUGAAAUGAAUGCCGAGAAUGAUGGAUCCUACACACUAAUCUCCAACAUAUAUGCCAAUGCAGGCCGGUGGAAAGAUGUUGCAAGAAUCAGACACUUGAUGAAGAAAUCAGGAAUUAGGAAGAGACCAGGGUGCAGCUGGGUCCAGGGUCAAAAGGGGACCGCGUCUUUCUUUGUCGGAGAUAGAUCACACCCACUAACCCCGCAAAUUUAUGCUCUUCUCGAGAGAUUAAUUGAUCGUAUCAAAGCUAUGGGAUAUGUUCCUGAGACGAACUUUGCAUUGCAUGAUGUUGAUGAGGAGGAGAAAAACAAUCUUCUUGUUGAGCAUAGUGAGAAGCUUGCUCUUGCAUAUGGUCUCCUCACAACUUCCCCUGGUUGUCCAAUAAGGAUCACAAAGAACCUACGUGUAUGUGGUGAUUGUCAUAGUGCAUUCACCUACAUUUCAAAGAUUGUGGACCAUGAGAUCAUAGUACGAGACCCCAGUCGUUUUCAUCAUUUCAAGAACGGUUCAUGCUCAUGUGGUGGCUAUUGGUGAGGAUUAUAUUUGCGAAAGCAUCAGAGAUGAUUUAAAAGGUUUUUAAAAGAUUAGACUAGGAACCACAGAAAUGUGAUGUUUGUCAAAUGCGCAAAAUGCUUUGGCACCCACCUCUCCAGCAUCCAGGUUUGUAGUUGACUUCUCCGCACCGCCGCCGAGAUGGCUCGCUAUCACCGCAGCAGCAGCCACCUUCGCCAUGCACCGCUUCAGCUGGCCACAGAUCUGGGUUGACCCACUUCACUGGCAGGAUAUUUCUCCCACCACCUGAAGGCUGCUGCUCCACCUGCAGUGAAUGCGGGGAUAACCAAUGUACAAGAAGCCAAGCCGAUUCGUUUGCUCAAAGAUCAUAAAAUCCAGUGCAAAUAAAACUCUCAGGAUCAACAUGAGAACGGCCUUCUUCAGUUUCAAGAUCAGUGACAUUGUUAUAAGCGGUCAGAUCAACAGCAAGGCACCGGUUGGAUUGGACCAACGGCGGUGACAGGCAGCACCAAUGCAGGGAAGUGGUCAGACCGAUCGACGGUCAAACCACAGUUAUCUGGACGGUCCGGUUAGACCGAUCUCCAUUUACUUCGAGAGUAACUUUUAAUUCCACUAAAAGUUUUUGGUUUUUGAUGUCACAACCAUCUACCCCUCCUACUCUGGUUUGCUUAGUUCUUUUGUGUACUAUCCAGCAGAUUUUGUACUUAUUUUACUAAUAUUGUGGAAGUACAUGAAUUUGUUGCUUUUAAAUCAGUGACAUGCACUUGGAUGGUAACAUAUUACAAUCAAACUGCCUUUAGCACAAGAAAGGUCCACGUUUUUGUUGUAAACUUUGGUAUGUAAUCAAA
This is an RNA transcript of Oryza brachyantha (malo sina), 3568 nucleotides long. It is a transcript of the gene named pentatricopeptide repeat-containing protein At5g16860, with no coding region annotated. Lineage: Eukaryota; Viridiplantae; Streptophyta; Magnoliopsida; Poales; Poaceae. The transcript is spliced from 4 exons. The record is from RefSeq and is a predicted model, not a curated record.